AACGAACGCUGGCGGCAUGCCUAACACAUGCAAGUCGAACGAAACCUCCGGGUCUUGUGGCGCACGGGUGCGUAACGCGUGGGAACCUGCCCUUAGGUUCGGAAUAACUCCCCGAAAGGGGUGCUAAUACCGGAUAAUGUCUUCGGACCAAGGAUUUAUCGCCUUUGGAUGGGCCCGCGUUGGAUUAGCUAGUUGGUAGGGUAAAAGCCUACCAAGGCGACGAUCCAUAGCUGGUCUGAGAGGAGGAUCAGCCACACUGGGACUGAGACACGGCCCAGACUCCGACGGGAGGCAGCAGUGGGGAACACUGGACAAUGGGCGAAAGCCUGAUCCAGCAAUGCCGCGUGAGUGAUGAAGGCCUUAGGGUUGUAAAGCUCUUUUACCCGGGAUGAUAAUGACAGUACCGGGAGAAUAAGCACCGGCUAACUCCGUG
This 433-nucleotide ribosomal RNA is filed under the name uncultured bacterium. Its description in RNAcentral is "partial 16S ribosomal RNA". It matches the Rfam family "Bacterial small subunit ribosomal RNA", at positions 29 to 507 of the family's 1533-position model. The record is from RNAcentral.